AGCUAAUAGAUACCCAGGUAGUCCUGGCCGUAAACGAUGACCACUCGAUAUAGGAGGUAUCGACCCCUUCUGUGUCGCAAAGCUAACGCGAUAAGUGGUCCGCCUGGGGAGUACGGUCGCAAGAUUAAAACUCAAAGGAAUUGACGGGGACCCGCACAAGCAGCGGAGCGUGUGGUUUAAUUCGAUGUAACGCGAAGAACCUUACCAGAACUUGACAUGCUCUUGCACCACCCGUCAUGGGGUGUACCCGCAAGGGACAGGAGCACAGGUGCUGCAUGGCUGUCGUCAGCUCGUGUCGUGAGAUGUUGGGUUAAGUCCCGCAACGAGCGCAACCCCCAUGGCUAGUUGGAUCUGUCUAGCUAGACUGCCACUCUCAAAGUGGAGGAAGGUGGGGAUGACGUCAAGUCAGCACGGCCCUUACGUCCUGGGCGACACACACGCUACAAUGGCCGGGACAACGAGUCGCCAACCCGCGAGGGGAGCCAAUCUCAACAAACCCGGGUCUCAGUUCAGAUUGUAGGCUGCAACCC
This 530-nucleotide ribosomal RNA is filed under the name uncultured bacterium. Its description in RNAcentral is "bacterial SSU rRNA". It matches the Rfam family "Bacterial small subunit ribosomal RNA", at positions 767 to 1313 of the family's 1533-position model. The record is from RNAcentral.